This 381-nucleotide long non-coding RNA is filed under the name Setaria italica (foxtail millet). Its description in RNAcentral is "long non-coding RNA (SITA_LNC006911)". The record is from RNAcentral. Lineage: Eukaryota; Viridiplantae; Streptophyta; Magnoliopsida; Poales; Poaceae.
GAAUUAAUGCAGGCACGAUGUCUGCCCAAGGAGGUGCUAGAUGGACAUCUCACACCUGUACCGUGUGCUUUGAGAAUUCAAGUUUAUUUCAUUCAAGAUGGCAGCAUAUGUGGUUGCUCUGUGGACACUUCCAUCUGCUGAUUACUUUUACCAUUUGCGUGUAAGGCCUCUCUAUGCUGACACCUGCUAUGUACUUAACCGUGACCCUGCUAAAUUUUUGCCUGUUAAUUGCUGAUGGCCAGUUAACUUUUUCGACCUAGUUGAUGGAAGGUAAUCUGUGAUGUCACCUGUUGUCGUUUGGUAGAUGUAGAACAGUUGGUAUCAUUGAUUAGUCGUGUAUGAUCUGGUUUCUUAUUUUGGUGGAUUUAUUGGUGCACAUGG